This 67-nucleotide transfer RNA is filed under the name Marmota monax (woodchuck). RNAcentral's name for it is "tRNA.Ala". The record is from RNAcentral. Lineage: Eukaryota; Metazoa; Chordata; Mammalia; Rodentia; Sciuridae.
GGUUGUGACUCAGUGGUAGAGCGCUUGCCUAGCAUGCAUGAGGCACUGGAUUCAAUCCUGAGCACCA